GAAAUGCGAUAAGUAGUGUGAAUUGCAGAAUUCAGUGAAUCAUCGAAUCUUUGAACGCACAUUGCGCCUCCUGGUAUUCCGGGAGGCAUGCCUGUCCGAGCGUCAUGCAAAAACAUAGACCUUGCCCAGUGAUUUUCUGGGUCUAGGUUUGCUUUUGAGGGAUGAGCCAUGGGGCUGGUGGGUAGUACCUAUCUACUGGCUCUUGGCUCCCCCUAGAAUUCCAGAGGCGAACUGAAAUGAAAAAAACACCGCGGGUGGUAGUAGGUAGUAUUAAAGAAAUUUUCUCGCCCAUCGCUGCUUACGGUUUUUUCAUUUACGCUUCCGCCGAUCAAACCAAAUAUCCAUCUUUUUUUGACCUCGGAUCAGGUAGGGAUACCCGCUGAACUUAA
Molecule: unclassified non-coding RNA, 389 nt
Filed under: uncultured fungus
Lineage: Eukaryota; Fungi
Description: sequence contains ITS1
Rfam family: 5.8S ribosomal RNA (bases 1-105)
Source: RNAcentral